Molecule: long non-coding RNA, 1449 nt
Organism: Dicentrarchus labrax (European seabass)
Lineage: Eukaryota; Metazoa; Chordata; Actinopteri; Moronidae
Exons: 2
Source: RefSeq, a predicted model, not a curated record
CAGAAUCAGUGACUUCAACAGGAAGUCAAGGCAGCGAGACACCAUUGAUCAAAGGUGAAAGCGAGUGACAGAUUGAAGAGGUCUGUGAUUUCCACUCCAUAAGAAAUCUGCAACAUUGAACUUCUGAGCUUCUGUUUUGCAAGAGAAGUAAACAUGUUUUAUUAAAGUAAAGACACAAUUUGUAAACUACACAAACAUAAACAAUAGGGUCACCAAACCACCAAAAUGGAUUGAAUAUCAUUAGGAGUCAUGUUGCAAAAAAGUUGCAGUGCAAUGAAGCUUUAAAGCUGCACUAAUCAAUAUUUAUGUUUAACAUUUUACAACAAUCCAAGUUGUACCAGCAGAUAAUUAGACUUUAAAUUAGAGUUUACUGGUAAAAGUUUGCUUCACUCCAGUUAAAGAAAUAUUGUAGCAGUGUUGAGUGAUACACAGAUUGGCAUAUGCAGCUCAAACAAGGCUGCAGUAGAUCCUCCACACCAUAAACUAUAUUUAAAUCUAUAUUGAACAUCAAAUCACAAUGUUUCUAUCCACAGUGGAUCUUUGCCUUAUUUAAACUACACACCAUCCAUAUGAGUGUAUAACCUUGAUGACACAUAAUGUAUAAGAUGUUCAUAAUCAGAGUAAAUGAUGAACUGUGUCAAUCAAAGAGUGACGAGAAUGUUGAAUGUAUGUAAAUAUGUAAAUAGAGAUACGUUCAUAGAUAUUUUUCACAUUUUUCAUAUUAAUGUGUUAAACAAAUUCAAGAUGACUUUUUCUUUCUUUCUCUUUGGUGACAGUUGUAGCAAGAUGUGUAAUACAGUUUAUUCUGUAAAUGUUCAUAAUGCAAAUGUACAUAUAGACUCAGUUAUGUGAUUUACAUGCAGCAACAUCCACUCUUGUCCCCUUAAAUGCUGUCGAACAUUCAGCCCUUUGAUUUAUAACUGGAGACGUCUGCAGCACUCUGCACUGUAUUUAUCAAGAAGUGGGUUGGUCUCUCCAUCAGAAGAUAACAGCGUUAGAGAACAUUUAUUCUUAUUUCUUUAUAAAGGCUGCUCCAAACAUUGCCCCUAUAUUUGACAUCACUUAAUGGUGAACUGAACUGGGAAAGAUGGAUUUUAGAUUCCUUGUAUCAUACAUUGGGGUGAAUAGCAGUGUACCUUCACACUUACUUACUAUAUGCAAUGCAAUUUAUCCAAUGGGUCAAUUCAAAAUCAAAUCAAAUCCCUGAUUGAUUUUAGGUGUGACUGGUCAUGAAUGCAAUUUAUUUGGUGAUUAUGAUUUUUACCUUCGACUGUUACGUUUAUUAUUUAUUCUGCAUUGUUACUAUUAUUGCUUUAUUUUAAAUUCUCACGAUUGAUAUUGUACAUUUUAAAAUUGUUUGUUUUUAUAUACUUGUGUGCUCAGGAAUCUCUUGAAAAUUAGAUGUGUAGUUCAUUUGGACUUAUUGAAAAAAUAAAAUAUACAAACACA